This 493-nucleotide ribosomal RNA is filed under the name uncultured bacterium. Its description in RNAcentral is "partial 16S ribosomal RNA". It matches the Rfam family "Bacterial small subunit ribosomal RNA", at positions 27 to 507 of the family's 1533-position model. The record is from RNAcentral.
GAGUGAACGCUGGCGGUAGGCCUAACCCAUGCAAGUCGAACGGCAGCACAGUAAGAGCUUGCUCUUACGGGUGGCGAGUGGCGGACGGGUGAGGAAUACAUCGGAAUCUACUUUUUCGUGGGGGAUAACGUAGGGAAACUUACGCUAAUACCGCAUACGACCUACGGGUGAAAGCAGGGGAUCUUCGGACCUUGCGCGAUUGAAUGAGCCGAUGUCGGAUUAGCUAGUUGGCGGGGUAAAGGCCCACCAAGGCGACGAUCCGUAGCUGGUCUGAGAGGAUGAUCGGCCACACUGGAACUGAGACACGGUCCAGACUCCUACGGGAGGCAGCAGUGGGGAAUAUUGGACAAUGGGCGCAAGCCUGAUCCAGCCAUACCGCGUGGGUGACGAAGGCCUUCGGGUUGUAAAGCCCUUUUGUUGGGAAAGAAAAGCAGCAGGUUAAUACCCCGCUGUUCUGACGGUACCCAAAGAAUAAGCACCGGCUAACUUCGUG